UUGCUUAAGUAGCCCUUGCGCUGAAACUGGAACGACACCGUGAAGAUUGGCGUGGCCCCUGUGCAAGGAUGACUUGACACAUGGAGAUUGUUCUUAAAACAUG
This is a small nuclear RNA of Phyllostomus hastatus (greater spear-nosed bat), 103 nucleotides long. Lineage: Eukaryota; Metazoa; Chordata; Mammalia; Chiroptera; Phyllostomidae. The record is from RefSeq and is a predicted model, not a curated record.